Molecule: ribosomal RNA, 678 nt
Filed under: Odontobutis obscura
Lineage: Eukaryota; Metazoa; Chordata; Actinopteri; Gobiiformes; Odontobutidae
Description: partial 12S rRNA
Rfam family: Bacterial small subunit ribosomal RNA
Source: RNAcentral
AGCUGAUAGACACCGGCGUAAAGAGUGGUUAAAAAACAGUAAAACUAAAGCUAAACACCUUCAAGGCCGUUAUACGCAACCGAAGACAGGAGAAACCCCCACGAAAGUGGCUUUAAAACCAUUGAACCCACGAAGAUUAGGAUACAAACUGGGAUUAGAUACCCCACUAUGCCUAACCCUAAACAAAAACGACACCCUUACACCUGUCACUCGCCAGGGAACUACAAGCACUAGCUCGAAAUCCAAAGGACUUGGCGGUGCUUUAGAACCACCUAGAGGAGCCUGUUCUAUAACCGAUACUCCCCGUUUAACCUCACCCUUUCUUGCCACUACCGCCUAUAUACCGCCGUCGUCAGCUUACCCUAUAAGGGUCCCAUAGUAAGCAAAACUGGUAAAACCUAACACGUCAGGUCGAGGUGUAGCACAUGAAAGAGAAAGAAAUGGGCUACACUCCCUGACUCAGGGUAUACAAACGAUAAUUUGAAAUAAUUAUCUGAAGGUGGAUUUAGCAGUAAGGGAGAAUACAGAGAGUUCCCCUGAAACCGGCCCUGAAGCGCGCACACACCGCCCGUCACUCUCCCCAAACCUAUACUGAACCCCAACAUAUAAAAAAUAUUCCACAAAGGGGAGACAAGUCGUAACAUGGUAAGUGCACCGGAAGGUGUACUUGGAAAAACC